RNAcentral lists this ribosomal RNA (324 nucleotides) under uncultured eukaryote. RNAcentral describes it as "partial 18S ribosomal RNA". It matches the Rfam family "Eukaryotic small subunit ribosomal RNA", at positions 1470 to 1796 of the family's 1831-position model. The record is from RNAcentral.
CCCUUAGAUGCUCUGGGCCGCACGCGCGCUACACUGGUCGAUGCAACGAGUUUCUUUCCUUGGCCGACAGGCCUGGACAAUCUUUGAACAUCGAUCGUGAUCGGGAUAGAUUCUUGUAAUUUUUGAUCUUAAACGAGGAAUUCCUAGUAAACGCAAGUCAUCAGCUUGCAUUGAUUACGUCCCUGCCCUUUGUACACACCGCCCGUCGCACCUACCGAUUGAAUGGUCCGGUGAAAUCUCCGGACUGGCGUGAGUCGGAGCAAUCUGACAAACACCGGAAAGUUGAUUAAACCUUACCAUUUAGAGGAAGGUGAAGUCGUAACA